UCUCUGCCUUUGCCAUAAGAUGCCAAGAUGACCCAGCAUAAGGAAGAAGCUGGUGGCAUUCACACAUCCUUGCAAAGAGGAAUUAAAAAGCAACAUGCCUCUCUGGGAGAGGAUAACUGCAUUUUAGAGAAGUUCAUGCAGAGAAAAGGAAGAUCUCAACUGACUUCAUUGUAUGAUUUUGGGAGGAUACACUAA
Molecule: long non-coding RNA, 195 nt
Filed under: Apteryx owenii (little spotted kiwi)
Lineage: Eukaryota; Metazoa; Chordata; Aves; Apterygiformes; Apterygidae
Description: lncRNA (ENSAOWG00000011570.1)
Source: RNAcentral